This 450-nucleotide ribosomal RNA is filed under the name uncultured bacterium. Its description in RNAcentral is "partial 16S ribosomal RNA". It matches the Rfam family "Bacterial small subunit ribosomal RNA", at positions 354 to 796 of the family's 1533-position model. The record is from RNAcentral.
GUGGGGAAUUUUGGACAAUGGGCGCAAGCCUGAUCCAGCCAUGCCGCGUGCAGGAUGAAGGCCUUCGGGUUGUAAACUGCUUUUGUACGGAACGAAAAGACUCCUUCUAAUAAAGGGGGUCCAUGACGGUACCGUAAGAAUAAGCACCGGCUAACUACGUGCCAGCAGCCGCGGUAAUACGUAGGGUGCGAGCGUUAAUCGGAAUUACUGGGCGUAAAGCGUGCGCAGGCGGUUAUGUAAGACAGAUGUGAAAUCCCCGGGCUCAACCUGGGAAGUGCAUUCGUGACUGUAUAGCUAGAGUACGGUAGAGGGGGAUGGAAUUCCGCGUGUAGCAGUGAAAUGCGUAGAUAUGCGGAGGAACACCGAUGGCGAAGGCAAUCCCCUGGACCUGUACUGACGCUCAUGCACGAAAGCGUGGGGAGCAAACAGGAUUAGAUACCCCAGUAGUCC